This is a long non-coding RNA of Daphnia carinata, 480 nucleotides long. RefSeq lists it as uncharacterized. The record is from RefSeq and is a predicted model, not a curated record. The transcript is spliced from 4 exons. Lineage: Eukaryota; Metazoa; Arthropoda; Branchiopoda; Diplostraca; Daphniidae.
AGUUCGCAAAAGGACAUUUUUCCAUGUAAUGCCCACAAGGAGGAGGUGGGAGUCGAGCAUGUAGGUGUCAUAAGAAGCGGGCCAUGUAGCAAGGGAUUUUCCACAAGGAGGGGUCAUUGGUGGCAGCAAGUGUUACAAGUGUCAUGAAGUUGGCCACACCUCGAAAGGCUGUACGAAUCUAUUCGUGAAUUGACGAAAAAUGGAAAGCCGCGUGAACAAUACAUUCCGGAAGCUGUGACAUGCCAUGAAAAGGAACUGUUUAAGUGGGAUCGUCUGUGGGGAACGCUAUAACAAUUUUGAUAAAGUCGUUCUCCAUCGAAUCCAGGUUACAGGAAAAGAUGUACCUCAAUACAUAACAUCACUCGAAGAAGCCGGCCCGCGCCCACUACUACUUCAAAACAUUAAGAAUUCUGUCUACAUCAAACCAACACCUGUACAGAAAGCUUCAGUUGCAGUUCUUGCCAAAAAAGAUUUGAUUGC